Molecule: ribosomal RNA, 407 nt
Filed under: uncultured bacterium
Lineage: Bacteria
Description: partial 16S ribosomal RNA
Rfam family: Bacterial small subunit ribosomal RNA
Source: RNAcentral
AUUGAACGCUGGCGGCAGGCCUAACACAUGCAAGUCGAGCGGAGCGGCGGACGGGUGAGUAAUGCCUAGGAAUCUGCCUGGAAGUGGGGGACAACGUCCGGAAACGGGAGCUAAUACCGCAUACUAUCAGAUGAGCCUAGGUAGGAUUAGCUAGUUGGUGGGGUGAAGGCAUACAAAGUCGACGAUCCGUAACUGGUCUGAGAGGAUGAUCAGUCACACGGGAACUGAGACAUGUGCCAGACUCUUACGGGCGGCAGCAGUGGGGAAUUUUUGACAAUGGGCGGAAUCCUUAUCCAGCCAUGCCGCGUGUGUGAAGAAGGUCUGCGGAUUGUAAAGCACUUUAAGUUGGGCGGCGUUACCAACAGAAUAAGCACCGGCUAACUUCGUGCCAGCCGCCGCGGUAAUAC